This 434-nucleotide ribosomal RNA is filed under the name uncultured bacterium. RNAcentral describes it as "partial 16S ribosomal RNA". It matches the Rfam family "Bacterial small subunit ribosomal RNA", at positions 29 to 507 of the family's 1533-position model. The record is from RNAcentral.
AGCGAACGCUGGCGGCAGGCCUAACACAUGCAAGUCGAACGAACCUUUCGGGGUUAGUGGCGGACGGGGGGGUAACACGUGGGAACGUGCCUUUAGGUUCGGAAUAACUCAGGGAAACUUGUGCUAAUACCGAAGGUGCCCUUCGGGGGAAAGAUUUAUCGCCUUUAGAGCGGCCCGCGUCUGAUUAGCUAGUUGGUUGAGGUAAUGGCUCACCAAGGCGACGAUCAGUAGCUGGUCUGAGAGGAUGAUCAGCCACAUUGGGACUGAGACACGGCCCAAACUCCUACGGGAGGCAGCAGUGGGGAAUCUUGCGCAAUGGGCGAAAGCCUGACGCAGCCAUGCCGCGUGAAUGAUGAAGGUCUUAGGAUUGUAAAAUUCUUUCACCGGGGACGAUAAUGACGGUACCCGGAGAAGAAGCCCCGGCUAACUUCGUG